This is a long non-coding RNA of Ictalurus punctatus (channel catfish), 606 nucleotides long. RefSeq lists it as uncharacterized. The record is from RefSeq and is a predicted model, not a curated record. Lineage: Eukaryota; Metazoa; Chordata; Actinopteri; Siluriformes; Ictaluridae. The transcript is spliced from 4 exons.
AAUGCCUGGGUUCUGAUUUUAUGUGUAAAUUGAAACCCCUGGUUUUGAUUCUAUGUGUAAGUGGAAUAGCCCUUUUCUGGAACAUAAGAGUAAGGUAAAUGAGCUCUUUUUUAACCCUAUUGGUAGUGAGAUCAUAGUCUUCUUGAAACAUAUGGGUUAUUUAGUGUGUAAAUACAGUAUAAAUACGGGAGCUUAAGCUCAGGGUAUUGGGAUCACUUCUGAGAAUUCUCAUCGGUGUGGAUCUCGUGUGGUGGAAUGGAACAAUAAAGCUGGACCCUUGCUUCUUCUCACUCACGGCUGGUGUAUUUUUUCUAUCUCCAACUGGGCUCAGAGGUAGAUUGUUGUCUGCAGCGUUGAUCUGGACCCGUGCUGCUCCGGCUGUGUUCACGUGGGUUACAGUAGAUCCGGACGUCCUUCAGUAAUCACGUUCUCUCCACAUCUUCCCCCUAAAGAGAAAAGACCUCAGAAAUCACACCUCUGGUGGAAACUACACAAUUUCACUAUUUGAAGUAAUCAGGUGCCACAAGUUUGUUAGAUGACCCCUAGGAAGCCUGAGGGACCGAGUCAACACAACAGAAGACUUCAGGAGCCAAACUUGUUCUGAAG